UGGGGAAUAUUGCACAAUGGGGGAAACCCUGAUGCAGCGACGCCGCGUGAGCGAAGAAGUAUUUCGGUAUGUAAAAGCUCUAUCAGCAGGGAAGAAAAUGACGUACCUGACUAAGAAGCCCCGGCUAACUACGUGCCAGCAGCCGCGGUAAUACGUAGGGGGCAAGCGUUAUCCGGAUUUACUGGGUGUAAAGGGAGCGUAGACGGCUGUGCAAGUCUGAUGUGAAAGGCAGGGGCUCAACCCCGGGACUGCUUUGGAAACUGUGGAUCUAGAGUGCCGGAGAGGUAAGCGGAAUUCCUAGUGUAGCGGUGAAAUGCGUAGAUAUUAGGAGGAACACCAGUGGCGAAGGCGGCUUACUGGACGGUAACUGACGUUGAGGCUCGAAAGCGUGGGGAGCAAAACAGGAUUAGAUACC
RNAcentral lists this ribosomal RNA (415 nucleotides) under uncultured bacterium. RNAcentral describes it as "bacterial SSU rRNA". It matches the Rfam family "Bacterial small subunit ribosomal RNA", at positions 355 to 786 of the family's 1533-position model. The record is from RNAcentral.